UGGUUCAUAUUCAUAACAAUUGCAGGGUCCUGGUGUCACAUGAUCACUUUUUGCAACCUUUUGACAAGCAAAGUCAAUGGGGAA
Molecule: non-coding RNA, 84 nt
Organism: Pseudonaja textilis
Lineage: Eukaryota; Metazoa; Chordata; Lepidosauria; Squamata; Elapidae
Source: RefSeq, a predicted model, not a curated record